AUGAACGCUGGCGGCGUGCUUAACACAUGCAAGUCGAACGAAGCUAUUCGGACGGAAGUUUUCGGACGGAAGGAAGAAUGGCUGAGUGGCGGACGGGUGAGUAACGCGUGGGUAACCUGCCUCAUACAGGGGGAUAACAGUUAGAAAUGACUGCUAAUACCGCAUAAGCCUACGGUGUCGCAUGACACAGUAGGAAAAGCUCCGGCAGUAUGAGAUGGACCCGCGUCUGAUUAGCUAGUUGGUGGGGUAACGGCCCACCAAGGCGACGAUCAGUAGCCGACCUGAGAGGGUGACCGGCCACAUUGGGACUGAGACACGGCCCAAACUCCUACGGGAGGCAGCAGUGGGGAAUAUUGCACAAUGGGCGAAAGCCUGAUGCAGCGACGCCGCGUGAAGGAAGAAGUAUUUCGGUAUGUAAACUUCUAUCAGCAGGGAAGAAAUUGACGGUACCUGACUAAGAAGCCCCGGCUAACUACGU
RNAcentral lists this ribosomal RNA (478 nucleotides) under uncultured bacterium. RNAcentral describes it as "bacterial SSU rRNA". It matches the Rfam family "Bacterial small subunit ribosomal RNA", at positions 29 to 506 of the family's 1533-position model. The record is from RNAcentral.